RNAcentral lists this ribosomal RNA (253 nucleotides) under uncultured bacterium. Its description in RNAcentral is "partial 16S ribosomal RNA". It matches the Rfam family "Bacterial small subunit ribosomal RNA", at positions 524 to 776 of the family's 1533-position model. The record is from RNAcentral.
UACGUAGGGGGCGAGCGUUGUUCGGAAUUACUGGGCGUAAAGCGCACGUAGGCGGCUUUGUAAGUUAGAGGUGAAAGCCCGGGGCUCAACUCCGGAAUUGCCUUUAAGACUGCAUCGCUAGAAUUGUGGAGAGGUAAGUGGAAUUCCGAGUGUAGAGGUGAAAUUCGUAGAUAUUCGGAAGAACACCAGUGGCGAAGGCGACUUACUGGACACAUAUUGACGCUGAGGUGCGAAAGCGUGGGGAGCAAACAGG